GAUGAAGAACGCAGCGAAAUGCGAUAAGUAGUGUGAAUUGCAGAAUUCAGUGAAUCAUCGAAUCUUUGAACGCACAUUGCGCCCCUUGGUAUUCCAUGGGGCAUGCCUGUUCGAGCGUCAUUUGUACCCUCAAGCUUUGCUUGGUGUUGGGUGUUUGUCCCGCGUUGCGCGUGGACUCGCCUUAAAGCGAUUGGCAGCCGGCAUAUUGGCCUUGGAGCGCAGCACAUUUUGCGCUUCUAGUCAUGAAUGUUGGCGUCCAUAAAGCCUAUACAUUUGCUCUUGACCUCGGAUCAGGUAGGGAUACCCGCUGAACUUAAGCAUAUCAAUAAGCGGAGGA
RNAcentral lists this unclassified non-coding RNA (337 nucleotides) under soil metagenome. RNAcentral's name for it is "partial contains 5.8S ribosomal RNA, internal transcribed spacer 2, and large subunit ribosomal RNA". The stretch from base 1 to 120 matches the Rfam family "5.8S ribosomal RNA", at positions 35 to 154 of the family's 154-position model. The record is from RNAcentral.